RNAcentral lists this ribosomal RNA (253 nucleotides) under uncultured bacterium. Its description in RNAcentral is "partial 16S ribosomal RNA". It matches the Rfam family "Bacterial small subunit ribosomal RNA", at positions 524 to 776 of the family's 1533-position model. The record is from RNAcentral.
UACGUAGGGUGCAAGCGUUAUCCGGAAUUAUUGGGCGUAAAGAGCUCGUAGGCGGUUUGUCGCGUCUGCUGUGAAAACCGGAGGCUCAACCUCCGGCCUGCAGUGGGUACGGGCAAACUAGAGUGCGGUAGGGGAGAUUGGAAUUCCUGGUGUAGCGGUGGAAUGCGCAGAUAUCAGGAGGAACACCGAUGGCGAAGGCAGGUCACUGGGCCGCAACUGACGCUGAGGAGCGAAAGCGUGGGGAGCGAACAGG